Molecule: small RNA, 120 nt
Filed under: Chimaeribacter coloradensis
Lineage: Bacteria; Pseudomonadati; Pseudomonadota; Gammaproteobacteria; Enterobacterales; Yersiniaceae
Description: RtT RNA
Rfam family: RtT RNA
About the family: This family represents a bacterial cis-regulatory element known as RtT RNA. The exact function of RtT is unknown although it is thought that it may be involved in changing the cellular response in relation to amino acid starvation.
Source: RNAcentral
UCUUAACAGGGAAGGACGAAAACCUUCGAUCAAGGUUCGGGCGAGCGUAAGCGAGCAACGUUGCGCAGCAACGGCCCGAAGGGCGAGGCGCAAAGCGACGAGUCAUCCUUCCCCCACCAU